Molecule: transfer RNA, 70 nt
Filed under: Clostridium perfringens
Lineage: Bacteria; Bacillati; Bacillota; Clostridia; Eubacteriales; Clostridiaceae
Description: tRNA-Asn
Rfam family: tRNA
About the family: Transfer RNA (tRNA) molecules are approximately 80 nucleotides in length. Their secondary structure includes four short double-helical elements and three loops (D, anti-codon, and T loops).
Source: RNAcentral
AAAGAUAUAACUCAGUUGGUAGAAUGGUAGACUGUUAAUCUAUUGAUCGAGAGUUCAAAUAUCUAUGUUU